AAAAACAAUAAUUGGUUAGCACUUAGCAUAAGAGAGUUGUAUACAAGAAAAACGCUGCAAUCCGUUCCGCUCCGCCAAAAAAACUAGUCCAAAUUCACUCGCAAAUAAGCGCGCAUUCCGACAGUCAAUCCGGACAUGGUUUGCUUGGCGUUACAGGCGAAGGUUUACGGAUUGUUUGGAUGGGAGUAUCGGAAGCCGGUGAGAGCGCCUCCGGCUUGCCCUAUUAAACCUUCAAUUUCAGGUAAGGAGGACCUUGCUGCUGAUGCUCCAAAACCAGUUGGGGUUGAUGAUGUAAAGCAAGAUUAAAGAUGGUCUAUAUCCUGUCUGGAGUGGCAAAGUGCUCUUAAAUGUUGAAAUCUAAAUGUUUAUCGCCAUUGUCCUACAGCAAUGUAUCAUGAAUUCUUUUUGCCUAAUCUGUAUGAAUAUACUAAAUGAUAGUAGUAGUACUUAAUCUUUUGUUCUAA
This is a long non-coding RNA of Salvia splendens (bonfire salvia), 464 nucleotides long. RefSeq lists it as uncharacterized. The transcript has 3 exons. Lineage: Eukaryota; Viridiplantae; Streptophyta; Magnoliopsida; Lamiales; Lamiaceae. The record is from RefSeq and is a predicted model, not a curated record.